Molecule: transfer RNA, 65 nt
Filed under: Paragonimus westermani
Lineage: Eukaryota; Metazoa; Platyhelminthes; Trematoda; Plagiorchiida; Troglotrematidae
Description: tRNA-Cys
Source: RNAcentral
GGGCGAGAUGUGUUUGCACAGCUCACUCUGCAAAGGUGAGUUUUGAUAAGGUUUAUCCUCGUCCU